RNAcentral lists this ribosomal RNA (776 nucleotides) under uncultured Neocallimastigales. RNAcentral describes it as "partial large subunit ribosomal RNA". It matches the Rfam family "Eukaryotic large subunit ribosomal RNA", at positions 26 to 628 of the family's 3401-position model. Lineage: Eukaryota; Fungi; Neocallimastigomycota; Neocallimastigomycetes; Neocallimastigales. The record is from RNAcentral.
CGUCUAUAUACGUAUAGCAUAUCAAUAAGCGGGAGGAAAAGAAACUAACUAGGAUUCCCUCAGUAACGGCGAGUGAAGCGGGAAGAGCUCAAAUUUGAAAUCUUCAAGGUUUUACCUUGACGAAUUGUAGUUUAAAGAAGUGUUUUCUGUUGGAAUUUUGGUAAAAGUUCUUUGGAAAAAGACAUCAAAGAGGGUGAGAAUCCCGUAUUUGACCAUUAUUUCCAGCUAUGUGAUACACUUUCAAAGAGUCGGAUUGUUUGGGAAUGCAGUCCAAAAUGGGUGGUAAAUUUCAUCUAAAGCUAAAUACUGGCGAGAGACCGAUAGCGAACAAGUACCGUGAGGGAAAGAUGAAAAGAACUUUGAAAAGAGAGUUAAACAGUACGUGAAAUUGUCAAAAGGGAAGCGUUUGACACCAGUGUUGUUUUCUCGAAAAUCAAUUAAAAAAUGAUUGGAUUUUGUGUUGUAUUGACUUCAUCAGCUUUCUGCACUCUUUUCCUUGUCUUUUUUAAUGCACUUUUCGUUUAACAAGUCAACAUCAAUUUCUUUUGUUGUAAAAGGGUCAUUGGAAGGUGGCUUUCUUUUCGGAGAAAGUGUUUAUAGCCUUUGCCUCUGCAGUCGGAGAGAUUGAGGUCUGCAGCGUAGAUCCUUCGGGGUUAGAUGCAUUUGUGCUAAGUUAUAGCCUUUCAUAGACAACUUGUUGACUAUGAUCAGUCAUGUAGCUUACUCGCUUAUGUCAUUUUACCUACGCUUAGGAUGUUGACGAUCAGCUGAGCGCG